RNAcentral lists this transfer RNA (72 nucleotides) under Ictidomys tridecemlineatus (thirteen-lined ground squirrel). RNAcentral describes it as "Spermophilus tridecemlineatus (thirteen-lined ground squirrel) tRNA". It matches the Rfam family "tRNA". From Rfam's summary of the family: Transfer RNA (tRNA) molecules are approximately 80 nucleotides in length. The record is from Rfam by way of RNAcentral. Lineage: Eukaryota; Metazoa; Chordata; Mammalia; Rodentia; Sciuridae.
UGGGGUGUGGCUCAGCGGUAGAGCACUCACCUAGCAUGUAUGAGGCCCUGGGUUCGAUCCUCAGCACCUCAU